Peromyscus eremicus (cactus mouse) is the source of this 754-nucleotide long non-coding RNA. RefSeq lists it as uncharacterized. The record is from RefSeq and is a predicted model, not a curated record. NCBI's taxonomy places the organism in Eukaryota, Metazoa, Chordata, Mammalia, Rodentia, Cricetidae. The transcript has 3 exons.
UCUGUUACUGAAGGCAAAGAAAAGUGUUAAAAUUGAUUCUUGAUAUUGAUUUAACAUAUUUAGUCUUUACCUGGUUUUUCUCUUUUUUGUGCAGAUGGAGCUGAGAGUCUUAAAAAUAAUUCAAGAUCAGCUACUUUAAACUAUUCAAUCAAUUGAGUCAGUUCUGACAGAGUUUAGAGGUUUUACUUUCUGAUAGAAAGUUUGAGAAUAAAUAAAUUCACUCUCUAAGCUUCUUUCACAGUUGGCUCCAAUUCCAUUUCAGUCUCUUAUAACCAACAAUAUCACAGUAUAAAGUGGAGCAGCAAUGGAUUACAUUUAGAGCGUUCCCCAGCUCUUGAAGAUUGAUCUUGAGCUCAUUCAAUAUUUAAGCAAAUAAUUGCCAGUGCCAAGUGGGUGGUUAUGGAUGAAGAUGACUGUGGAAAAAUGUUUCUUUUUAGGAGUUUGUGACAUACUGGAUGAAGGGUAUAAAAUGAGCAGCUUGUACUUAAAGGAAGGUGUGCUCUGUGCAUCAGCUUGAAAUGGACAGUGUCAAUCAUUCCUGUCACCUUCAGCAGAUUCCACACUAUUUUGGAUGUAAAGAAUCAGUUCCUGAUGUUGACAUCUGGUCAUGUCUACUCUCUGCAAACAAGCCUGUGUGUGUGAUCUUCAUAAGAUAAUAUCCACUGGAGGAACCGCGGAGUACCCAUAUUCCAUCCAUCUCUGUACAAGCAAAUGUUCAAAGAGAUGCAAGAACGGAGAAAAAGCAUGGCCAGAC